GUAGUUAAUUCAAAACCUAUCAGUGUGCAUCAGUAGCUUAAAUUAUUCCUUAUGAUAUGAAAUACCACUCUCUUGUCUUGGCUCAAUUUUGUCUACAUCAGAUUAUUCAACUACCUAUUUUUGGUUGGGUCCUUCUGGAGUUCUUCAAAAUGUUCUCCACUCCUGACUAGCCUAAAUAAUUCUGUUACCUACAUAUUUCACAACCUUCUUAUUCAGGUUUUCCAAAUUUAUUGGUGUUAACAUUUAGAGGAAACCUCGUUCCAAUACUAUUCCCUGGGGCACCUUUUUAUUAACUUCCUUUCAGGCUAACAACAUCGUUUAUUCCUAUCUUUCAUUUUCAUUGUUAUCCUUUUUUGUUUAACAUCAAGGUUUUACAAUACAAAACUUUACCUCUCACCUCUUGGGUCCUACGUAAGGCUGAAAUGGAUGCUAAAUGUUUUCUGGUUAGAGGCUUGAUCAAAAGCCUUUUGAAUGUCUAAAUAUUUAAAGCCCACUACUUCUCUACACGUCACAAUUUUGUUAACUCUUUCAAAAAUUCCAAAUAGAUUAGAGAGGCAUGAUUUAUCUAGGCUGAAGCUGCACAUACUACCCACUCGGGUGUUCUAUAACCCUCAGUAAUGACUUUAUCUGCUAUUUUUUCUCAUCCUGAAGGUAACACUCAUUGGUAAGUAAUUCUCCAGGUUACUCUGAGCUCAUUAUUUAAAGAUGGGCACUCCUGCCUGUUUGUCCAGACAAAUAAGCACCUAAUGGAAAUUCAGACCAAAUAACAUAAAACCUAUUUUCUUUCUGACACAUCCAACCACCGUCCUACAACACCUUGGGGCAUGUCAGAGCAAAAAAAAAGCCUGAGUUCCACUAUCAAAUGAACGCUGUGUACUUUGCCUGCCCUAAAAGGAACAUUAAACUAGGUUUAGUUUAGAUAUAAGGAAAAAUUCCCUGACAAGCCUCUUUAACCCUGAAAUGGGUGUGAAGGGAGGCUGUGAAUUCUCUUUCCCCAGAAAUCUCUGAAAAUAGAGAAAGUCUUCAUUCUUCAGAUGUGGCUUCCUUCUAGUUCUUCCAAAUAGAGAAGAGAUGUUAUGACCUCUGAAAGGCACAUUUCAGUCUCAUUUUGCGAUUUUGUUUUUGAACUCAAUAUAUCGUA
This 1141-nucleotide long non-coding RNA is filed under the name Equus caballus (horse). RNAcentral's name for it is "lncRNA (ENSECAG00000049340.1)". The record is from RNAcentral. Lineage: Eukaryota; Metazoa; Chordata; Mammalia; Perissodactyla; Equidae.